RNAcentral lists this non-coding RNA (45 nucleotides) under Schistosoma margrebowiei. Lineage: Eukaryota; Metazoa; Platyhelminthes; Trematoda; Strigeidida; Schistosomatidae. The record is from RNAcentral.
AUUCAGUUGACGAGUCUCAAACAGGACGAAACGCGCGUCCUGGAU